Molecule: ribosomal RNA, 465 nt
Filed under: Vreelandella stevensii
Lineage: Bacteria; Pseudomonadati; Pseudomonadota; Gammaproteobacteria; Oceanospirillales; Halomonadaceae
Description: partial 16S ribosomal RNA
Rfam family: Bacterial small subunit ribosomal RNA
Source: RNAcentral
CCUACGGGCGGCAGCAGUGGGGAAUAUUGGACAAUGGGCGAAAGCCUGAUCCAGCCAUGCCGCGUGUGUGAAGAAGGCCUUCGGGUUGUAAAGCACUUUCAGUGGGGAAGAAAGCCUUGGGGCUAAUACCCUCGAGGAAGGACAUCACCCACAGAAGAAACACCGGCUAACUCCGUGCCAGCAGCCGCGGUAAUACGGAGGGUGCGGGCGUUAAUCGGAAUUACUGGGCGUAAAGCGCGCGUAGGCGGUCUGAUAAGCCGGUUGUGAAAGCCCCGGGCUCAACCUGGGAACGGCAUCCGGAACUGUCAGGCUAGAGUGCAGGAGAGGAAGGUAGAAUUCCCGGUGUAGCGGUGAAAUGCGUAGAGAUCGGGAGGAAUACCAGUGGCGAAGGCGGCCUUCUGGACUGACACUGACGCUGAGGUGCGAAAGCGUGGGUAGCAAACAGGAUUAGAUACCCUUGUAGUC